GCGUGAAUGAUGUAGUGGCAGCACCCGAAGUUCCACGCUGCGGGGCCUGAGUUCGAUUCUCGGUUCACGCA
This is a non-coding RNA of Flagelloscypha sp. PMI_526, 71 nucleotides long. The record is from the annotation of a GenBank genome assembly. Lineage: Eukaryota; Fungi; Basidiomycota; Agaricomycetes; Agaricales; Niaceae.